RNAcentral lists this long non-coding RNA (1507 nucleotides) under Mytilus galloprovincialis (Mediterranean mussel). The record is from RNAcentral. Lineage: Eukaryota; Metazoa; Mollusca; Bivalvia; Mytilida; Mytilidae.
GUUUUAGAAUCUAGAAAGUGCAAAUCUGGUUACUUAACAAUCAUACAAUUCAACAACAGACAAGAAGACAUAAACAUCCAAACAUUUUUUUUCUGGGGAAAUUAACCAAAUGAGUUAUUAAGAACAGUCUUGUCAGAUAUUUCCUUAGCAUCCUGAUAAACAGGGAAAUUUCACAUACCAUCUUGAUUCUAAAAAUUUAAGAAUAACAUCCAUAACCCAAUCUAUGAGAAAAUUAUUUCAGUUUAGCAUCACAUUAUUAUGAUCCUAAAAGACCCUGUGAAGAACACUACUUAAAUAAUUAUUAUUAUAAAAGCUAGUUUUUGAGAAAACCAUAAUUGUCAAUUACAAAUUUUGUUUUUGUUUUAACUGUCUGUUGCCCACCAUACCAUCUGCUUGCUAAAAAUUGAUGAUGACUGUAACCCAGAUUUACAAUUCAUGCACCCAAACUGCCAAUUUUGUUAUUUCAAAGACUUGGGUAUAUUAACAACAAUAACUAAUAACUCUCUCUUAUUUUCAAACCACCAUUAAUUGAUUAUUUAAUUAAUCAAAAACAAAUAUUAAUCUUGCAACAACAUAACAAUUUGGGAUAAAAAAAAAAAUCAAACCUAAUGUAGUAUUACAUGUACAUUCUUUACAAUAGAUUAUAUUAAAAACAGUAAAAUAAUAGAUAAUUGAGGAUGCAAAAGCUUUUUAAUUUGCAUUCUCAUUUUGUAAGUCUGUCCUUCAACAAAUUUUGUAAAGGCAUAAUCUCCAAAAGUAUGGCCUCUGGCUAAUGGGUAGAACAACCUUGAAGUUUCAUGUAACAUACAUUGAAAUACUUUAUUGUUGUAAUUGUUCUUAACAAAAAAUUUAAACUAAAAGUUGAAGGUUAAGACAGUUGUUGAGCAUAUUACAUACAGUUUUAUGUAUGUAAGUAUUUAACAAAUCAAUUGCAACCUUGGGAAUUUUUAAGAAGCAUUUUUUCCUGCUAGAAUGUCAAUGUCAACUGAUAGCUUGCACAGGCACUUCAAUGUCUUGGCCAAAAAAUUCCUAUAUACCUUAUUUUUUUUUUCUGAGCCAAAUGCCUGUGAUAAUUUGGUAUAAUAUGCUCCCCAAGUGUCAAAAGUCAAAUGGAUUUUUGUGAAUACCCCAAUAAAAACUAAAUUUUGAAGAAAAAUAAUUGUGAUACAUAUUUAUGUGCUCUACUCCAACAAAAAUGUAAUUAAAGGUAUGAUACCUAGUCCAAAUUGAUCUUUUGAAAAAUUAAAAAAAAAAUUAUGGUACACAAGGUAAAAUUCAGACCUCCAUGAUAUAGGCAAGAGUACUGAAAGUGGCAUAAAAAAAAACAAUAAAUCAAUCCAUAAAACUAACUCUGAUUCACACUGAACAUUAUGACAAAAGUUGAUUUACACGUAGCACACUGACCCUUAUGUGAAAUCUUACAAAAAAAGUAGUAAUAACAUAGAUUUUCAAGAUUUUGGUCAAGAAUUUAAAAAUUUGAGAAUCAUCAUUUUUACAGGUUUGCACU